CGAACGCUGGCGGCGUGCUUAACACAUGCAAGUCGAACGGAAAGGCUCCAGCUUGCUGGAGUACUCGAGUGGCGAACGGGUGAGUAACACGUGGGUAAUCUGCCCUGCACUCUGGGAUAAGCCUGGGAAACUGGGUCUAAUACUGGAUAUGACCUUUCUCCUUAUGGGGUUUGGUGGAAAGUUUUUCGGUGUAGGAUGAGCCCGCGGCCUAUCAGCUUGUUGGUGGGGUGAUGGCCUACCAAGGCGACGACGGGUAGCCGGCCUGAGAGGGUGAUCGGCCACAUUGGGACUGAGAUACGGCCCAGACUCCUACGGGAGGCAGAAGUGGGGAAUAUUGCACAAUGGGCGGAAGCCUGAUGCAGCGACGCCGCGUGAGGGAUGACGGCCUUCGGGUUGUAAACCUCUUUCAGCAGGGACGAAGCGUAAGUGACGGUACCUGCAGAAGAAGCACGGGCUAACUAUGUG
RNAcentral lists this ribosomal RNA (465 nucleotides) under uncultured bacterium. RNAcentral describes it as "partial 16S ribosomal RNA". It matches the Rfam family "Bacterial small subunit ribosomal RNA", at positions 30 to 507 of the family's 1533-position model. The record is from RNAcentral.